GACGAACGCUGGCGGCGUGCUUAACACAUGCAAGUCGAACGAAGAGCGAUGGAAGCUUGCUUCUAUCAAUCUUAGUGGCGAACGGGUGAGUAACGCGUAAUCAACCUGCCCUUCCGAGGGGGACAACAGUUGGAAACGACUGCUAAUACCGCAUACGAUCUGACCUCGGCAUCGAGGAUAGAUGAAAGGUGGCCUCUACAUGUAAGCUAUCACUGAAGGAGGGGAUUGCGUCUGAUUAGCUAGUUGGAGGGGUAACGGCCCACCAAGGCGAUGAUCAGUAGCCGGUCUGAGAGGAUGAACGGCCACAUUGGGACUGAGACACGGCCCAGACUCCUACGGGAGGCAGCAGUGGGGAAUCUUCCGCAAUGGACGAAAGUCUGACGGAGCAACGCCGCGUGAGUGAUGACGGCCGUCGGGUUGUAAAGCUCUGUUAAUCGGGACGAAAGGCCUUUUUGCGAAUAGUGAGAAGGAUUGACGGUACCGGAAUAGAAAGCCACGGCUAACUACGUG
This 510-nucleotide ribosomal RNA is filed under the name uncultured bacterium. RNAcentral's name for it is "partial 16S ribosomal RNA". It matches the Rfam family "Bacterial small subunit ribosomal RNA", at positions 28 to 507 of the family's 1533-position model. The record is from RNAcentral.